UGUGAGCUCGAUGAGUAGGGCGGGACACGUGGUAUCCUGUCUGAAUAUGGGGGGACCAUCCUCCAAGGCUAAAUACUCCUGACUGACCGAUAGUGAACCAGUACCGUGAGGGAAAGGCGAAAAGAACCCCGGCGAGGGGAGUGAAAAAGAACCUGAAACCGUGUACGUACAAGCAGUGGGAGCCUCUUUUAUGGGGUGACUGCGUACCUUUUGUAUAAUGGGUCAGCGACUUAUAUUCUGUAGCAAGGUUAACCGAAUAGGGGAGCCGAAGGGAAACCGAGUCUUAACUGGGCGUUAAGUUGCAGGGUAUAGACCCGAAACCCGGUGAUCUAGCCAUGGGCAGGUUGAAGGUUGGGUAACACUAACUGGAGGACCGAACCGACUAAUGUUGAAAAAUUAGCGGAUGACUUGUGGCUGGGGGUGAAAGGCCAAUCAAACCGGGAGAUAGCUGGUUCUCCCCGAAAGCUAUUUAGGUAGCGCCUCGUGAAUUCAUCUCCGGGGGUAGAGCACUGUUUCGGCAAGGGGGUCAUCCCGACUUACCAACCCGAUGCAAACUGCGAAUACCGGAGAAUGUUAUCACGGGAGACACACGGCGGGUGCUAACGUCCGUCGUGAAGAGGGAAACAACCCAGACCGCCAGCUAAGGUCCCAAAGUCAUGGUUAAGUGGGAAACGAUGUGGGAAGGCCCAGACAGCCAGGAUGUUGGCUUAGAAGCAGCCAUCAUUUAAAGAAAGCGUAAUAGCUCACUGGUCGAGUCGGCCUGCGCGGAAGAUGUAACGGGGCUAAACCAUGCACCGAAGCUGCGGCAGCGACGCUUAUGCGUUGUUGGGUAGGGGAGCGUUCUGUAAGCCUGUGAAGGUGUGCUGUGAGGCAUGCUGGAGGUAUCAGAAGUGCGAAUGCUGACAUAAGUAACGAUAAAGCGGGUGAAAAGCCCGCUCGCCGGAAGACCAAGGGUUCCUGUCCAACGUUAAUCGGGGCAGGGUGAGUCGACCCCUAAGGCGAGGCCGAAAGGCGUAGUCGAUGGGAAACAGGUUAAUAUUCCUGUACUUGGUGUUACUGCGAAGGGGGGACGGAGAAGGCUAUGUUGGCCGGGCGACGGUUGUCCCGGUUUAAGCGUGUAGGCUGGUUUUCCAGGCAAAUCCGGAAAAUCAAGGCUGAGGCGUGAUGACGAGGCACUACGGUGCUGAAGCAACAAAUGCCCUGCUUCCAGGAAAAGCCUCUAAGCAUCAGGUAACAUCAAAUCGUACCCCAAACCGACACAGGUGGUCAGGUAGAGAAUACCAAGGCGCUUGAGAGAACUCGGGUGAAGGAACUAGGCAAAAUGGUGCCGUAACUUCGGGAGAAGGCACGCUGAUAUGUAGGUGAAGUCCCUUGCGGAUGGAGCUGAAAUCAGUCGAAGAUACCAGCUGGCUGCAACUGUUUAUUAAAAACACAGCACUGUGCAAACACGAAAGUGGACGUAUACGGUGUGACGCCUGCCCGGUGCCGGAAGGUUAAUUGAUGGGGUCAGCGCAAGCGAAGCUCUUGAUCGAAGCCCCGGUAAACGGCGGCCGUAACUAUAACGGUCCUAAGGUAGCGAAAUUCCUUGUCGGGUAAGUUCCGACCUGCACGAAUGGCGUAAUGAUGGCCAGGCUGUCUCCACCCGAGACUCAGUGAAAUUGAACUCGCUGUGAAGAUGCAGUGUACCCGCGGCAAGACGGAAAGACCCCGUGAACCUUUACUAUAGCUUGACACUGAACAUUGAGCCUUGAUGUGUAGGAUAGGUGGGAGGCUUUGAAGUGUGGACGCCAGUCUGCAUGGAGCCGACCUUGAAAUACCACCCUUUAAUGUUUGAUGUUCUAACGUGGACCCGUGAUCCGGGUUGCGGACAGUGUCUGGUGGGUAGUUUGACUGGGGCGGUCUCCUCCUAAAGAGUAACGGAGGAGCACGAAGGUUGGCUAAUCCUGGUCGGACAUCAGGAGGUUAGUGCAAUGGCAUAAGCCAGCUUGACUGCGAGCGUGACGGCGCGAGCAGGUGCGAAAGCAGGUCAUAGUGAUCCGGUGGUUCUGAAUGGAAGGGCCAUCGCUCAACGGAUAAAAGGUACUCCGGGGAUAACAGGCUGAUACCGCCCAAGAGUUCAUAUCGACGGCGGUGUUUGGCACCUCGAUGUCGGCUCAUCACAUCCUGGGGCUGAAGUAGGUCCCAAGGGUAUGGCUGUUCGCCAUUUAAAGUGGUACGCGAGCUGGGUUUAGAACGUCGUGAGACAGUUCGGUCCCUAUCUGCCGUGGGCGCUGGAGAACUGAGGGGGGCUGCUCCUAGUACGAGAGGACCGGAGUGGACGCAUCACUGGUGUUCGGGUUGUCAUGCCAAUGGCACUGCCCGGUAGCUAAAUGCGGAAGAGAUAAGUGCUGAAAGCAUCUAAGCACGAAACUUGCCCCGAGAUGAGUUCUCCCUGACCCUUUAAGGGUCCUGAAGGAACGUUGAAGACGACGACGUUGAUAGGCCGGGUGUGUAAGCGCAGCGAUGCGUUGAGCUAACCGGUACUAAUGAACCGUGAGGCUUAACC
RNAcentral lists this ribosomal RNA (2545 nucleotides) under Escherichia coli. RNAcentral describes it as "bacterial LSU rRNA". It matches the Rfam family "Bacterial large subunit ribosomal RNA", at positions 398 to 2925 of the family's 2925-position model. Lineage: Bacteria; Pseudomonadati; Pseudomonadota; Gammaproteobacteria; Enterobacterales; Enterobacteriaceae. The record is from RNAcentral.